UGGUUCCAGGGACCUGCUGAGUACCGCUUAUGUCUGAGGAUCUUGAAGAACAGAGACAAAAUUAAACCACACAUUUUAAAUCAAAGUUCUUUAUCCCAGGCAGCUCUGACCCCGUGGAAGGAGAAACAAACCCUGAAGGAGUAGCGGAAGACAUGCAGAUGAGUGUACACAACGUUUUAUUGCUCUCUGGACUCACAGAGACUCAAGACUAAGAAUGGAGGUUCUACAAAUAACCUGCGCUGAGUGGUUUGUCACUAACAUGGAGAACCUAUUGACUGACUAAACUGGCUCAGUCAGGUGGUGCCCCAACAUUGAAGCUCCAAUAAACAGGAUACAGGACACCAUGGGAAGAGGACGUGCUCACAGAGGAAAAUUUGG
This is a long non-coding RNA of Mus caroli (Ryukyu mouse), 378 nucleotides long. RefSeq lists it as uncharacterized. Lineage: Eukaryota; Metazoa; Chordata; Mammalia; Rodentia; Muridae. The record is from RefSeq and is a predicted model, not a curated record.